This 487-nucleotide ribosomal RNA is filed under the name uncultured bacterium. RNAcentral describes it as "bacterial SSU rRNA". It matches the Rfam family "Bacterial small subunit ribosomal RNA", at positions 28 to 507 of the family's 1533-position model. The record is from RNAcentral.
GAUGAACGCUAGCGACAGGCUUAACACAUGCAAGUCAGGGGCAGCGAAGGCGUAGCAAUACGCCUGUCGGCGACCGGCGCACUGGUGAGUAACACGUAUGCGACCUGCCCCCUACAGGGGUAUAACCCGUAGAAAUGCGGACUAAUCCCCCAGUAGUCCUGGGUGCUGCAUGGCAUUCAGGGGAAAGAUCCGUCGCUUGCGGAUGGGGAUGCGUCUGAUUAGUUAGUCGGCGGGGUAACGGCCCACCGAGACGACGAUCAGUAGGGGUUCUGAGAGGAAAGUCCCCCACAUUGGAACUGAGACACGGUCCAAACUCCUACGGGAGGCAGCAGUGAGGAAUAUUGGUCAAUGGGCGGAAGCCUGAACCAGCCAAGUAGCGUGCAGGACGACGGCCCUAUGGGUUGUAAACUGCUUUUAUGCGGGGAUAAAGUGGGCCACGUGUGGCCUUUUGCAGGUACCGCAUGAAUAAGGACCGGCUAAUUCCGUG